Molecule: transfer RNA, 85 nt
Filed under: Clostridiales bacterium
Lineage: Bacteria; Bacillati; Bacillota; Clostridia; Eubacteriales
Description: tRNA-Leu
Rfam family: tRNA
About the family: Transfer RNA (tRNA) molecules are approximately 80 nucleotides in length. Their secondary structure includes four short double-helical elements and three loops (D, anti-codon, and T loops).
Source: RNAcentral
GCGGAUAUGGCGGAACUGGCAGACGCGCCAGACUUAGGAUCUGGUGUCUUCAGACGUGCAGGUUCGACUCCUGUUAUCCGCACCA